AAACUUUUCCCGCUCUUAAAACUUUGCUACUCGGAAUAUCACGGAAAUGCUUCCGAAAGUUCGUGCAUGUCGAUUAGCGCCUUAUUCAAAGAAACAACAUUUGUUUACCACUCGAGAGAAACUGAAACAAGAAAAAACUAUUCUACAACGUUAACAGCGAUGGCAGAGGGUAGCAUGAGACAAGAACACAGAAGUGAACAAUCUGGUCCUCCAUAAUUCUUUGAUGGCCAAACUGAAUAUCAGCUGGAAAAAUGGCAAAAUUUCAUUUGGUGCCUCAAAGUUGUUCACAAUAAUUCUUGAUUGUGUCUCAGAGUCCUUUCCUGAGUCGGUUGAAGCAACAGAAACUAGGAUGAAGAGUGAAAUGUCCAGGUUCCUGAAAUAUGCCCCUGAAAGGCACGGAGGUGGAGGGAGGAAAGAAAAAAGAAAGAGACAGGAUGAGGACAUUUCAAAUUUCA
Molecule: long non-coding RNA, 455 nt
Organism: Mytilus californianus (California mussel)
Lineage: Eukaryota; Metazoa; Mollusca; Bivalvia; Mytilida; Mytilidae
Exons: 3
Source: RefSeq, a predicted model, not a curated record